Spinacia oleracea (spinach) is the source of this 1412-nucleotide long non-coding RNA. RefSeq lists it as uncharacterized. The record is from RefSeq and is a predicted model, not a curated record. Lineage: Eukaryota; Viridiplantae; Streptophyta; Magnoliopsida; Caryophyllales; Amaranthaceae. The transcript is spliced from 2 exons.
UUGCCAUAAUUUAUAAAAUUAAUUUUGUUUCCAUACAUAAAUAGUUAAAUAAAAAAGGUAGAGAAUAAAAAUAAAAUAAAAUAAAUACACGUUUGGAAAAGUGGUUUGGCGGGAAAAUAACGCACCAGGAAUUGACACGUGUCGUCUCUUUUAAUAUAUAUAGUAAUAGAUGUGUACUUAUCAAUAUCAAUAAAACCUCGAUCUUCUCAUAUAUGGACGUAACUAACCAUUUAAGUCGAAUUUACAUAGAUGAACCAAACACAACCUACAAUCAAUUUUGAUAUUAGAGGAUCGAGUUCAAUUAUCGAGUCGAAUCAAUUAUUGAAAAGUCUACCUACAUGAAAGUGAUGAAACACACACAGAGUCACACACCACAACGUUUUAACGUUUAGGUGGGAUAUUAUUACACUAGUCAUCUAGACAACUCACACGAUGUGUCAAUAUUUGAGCAUUGGGCCUACACCAAUCAACACAGUCCCAUAACUAAGGCAGAGCCAUAUAUUGGUAGAACAUCUUUAAUUUGCAAAACAAAAAUUCCCAUUUUUUUUCUAGAAGAAAAUGACAACACAAUAUUUAUUUAAAAUAAAUUUUUAUUUUCUCUUGAGGGGUUAAUUUUAAACCACAUUAUCAAAAAAAUCUAGUUAAUUUGUGUUAAUCCGUAAUAUAAGGUCCAUAUUCAAGUGGUUAGAUUUAAUUUACGCGAUAAUUUCUAGUGUUCUAGAUAACGAGACAAAUCCGUAGAACAAGUGUUCUAUAUUAAUUUGGCAUCUAGUAUCUUUUAAAUAUGAAUCACUUUCUCCUAUAAAUAAUCUUUAGUUUACAUUAGUUAAUUUGCAAAACAAUUUUAUACAUUAGUAUUUUAAAACAAAAGCUUUUCUUUUUGCAAAUUAUGAAGAUGUCAAUGAGGCCAUUUGCUACUUUUUUCCUUGUGUUCUUACUCGUCUUGACAACAGAGGUAAGUACAAAAGUAGCAGAAGCAAGGAUAUGUGCUAGUCCAAGUCACACGUUUAGAGGAAUAUGUUUUAGCAGCAGGAAUUGUGAAACUAAUUGCAAUUCUGAGAGAUUUUCUGGAGGAAGUUGUCAAGGUUUUCGUAGAAGAUGCAUGUGCACCAAGCCUUGCGCUUAAUUAACCAAUGGUGUGCCACGUGCGCGUUCCUCGUUAUCAAUAAUCAGCUUCACAUUGGUUAAAAUUUGCAUAAAUAUGUAAAAAAAAAAAAAAAACAGUUUGGCGCGCGCGUUCGCUAUACAUCAUCUUCAUUCAUCAACAAUCGAGUUGAUGCAGUGUUCUAUGUAUAUCUAUAUAUAAUCUUAUAUACAAAGUGUGUACUAAUACUUGUAUUAUAGUUGUGGUAACUUUGCAAUGUUCAAAUUUCGAACUAAUAAAUUAAUGAAAACUACAAUUCAUUAAGAAA